This 468-nucleotide ribosomal RNA is filed under the name uncultured bacterium. RNAcentral describes it as "partial 16S ribosomal RNA". It matches the Rfam family "Bacterial small subunit ribosomal RNA", at positions 28 to 507 of the family's 1533-position model. The record is from RNAcentral.
GACGAACGCUGGCGGCGUGCUUAACACAUGCAAGUCGAACGGAAAGGCCCUGCUUUUGUGGGUUGCUCGAUUGGCGCACGGGUGAGUAACACGUGAGUAACCUGUCCUUGUCUUUGGGAUAACUUCAGGAAACUGGGGCUCAUACCGGAUAGGAGCUCCUGCUGCGCGGUGGGGGUUGGUAAGUUUCGGCGGUUGGGGAUGGUCUCGCGGCUUAUCAGCUUGUUGGGGGGGUAGUGGCUUACCAAGGUUUUGACGGGUAGCCGGCCUGAGAGGGUGACCGGCCACAUUGGGACUGAGAUACGGCCCAGACUCCUACGGGAGGCAGCAGUGGGGAAUAUUGCACAAUGGGCGGAAGCCUGAUGCAGCAACGCCGCGUGCGGGAUGACGGCCUUCGGGUUGUAAACCGCUUUCGCCUGUGACGAAGCGUGAGUGACGGUAAUGGGUAAAGAAGCACCGGCUAACUACGUG